AAACUGCGAUACGUAGUGUGAAUUGCAGAAUUCAGUGAAUCAUCGAAUCUUUGAACGCAAAUUGCGCUGCUGGGUAUUCCCGGCAGCAUGCUUGGCUGAGUAUCAUCUGGACAAAUCGGCAAUUGCUUUUUUCGUAGUUGACCGGAACUGAGGUCGUCGCACACUCCUUGCAGUGUGGGUCCCUCCAAGUCUAGACUGGUUUAGCAUAAGCUAAAAUACAUUUUUUAGCGUUAUUGUCUUUACCGCCAGUGUGUCAAACUGUUUGCUGGCCACCUUUUUAACGAAAGGAGACAGCACAACAUCAGCACUGUCUGCGGUUCAAUAUCGCUUUAAGAUUAUAAAAUCAAAACUUUGAUCUCAGCUCAAGCAAGACUACCCGCUGAAUUUAA
This 389-nucleotide unclassified non-coding RNA is filed under the name uncultured fungus. RNAcentral's name for it is "sequence contains ITS1". The stretch from base 1 to 105 matches the Rfam family "5.8S ribosomal RNA", at positions 50 to 154 of the family's 154-position model. Lineage: Eukaryota; Fungi. The record is from RNAcentral.